UUUUUUUAGGGAAGCACCUGCGACAUAUGGAGAUUCCCAGGCUAGGGGUUGAAUUGGAGCUGUAGCUGCUGGCUUACACCACAGCCACAGCAAUGUGGGAUCCAAGGCACAUCUGUGACCUACACCACAGCUCAUCAGCAAUGCUAGAUCCUUAACCAAUGUGCAAAGCCAGGGAUCAAACUUGCAUCUUCAUGGACAUUAGCUGGAUUCAUUUCUGCUGCUCCACAAUGGGAACUCCCAUCUUUCAUUUUAUUAAUAUGUUUCUAACAGGCUCUAGCCCUUAGUCAAUUACCUUUCCUUUCAAAAUCAGUUGAAUAGAAUGAAACACUAUGAAUGUCAGUUAAUACCUUAAACUUAUUUCUAACAUUCGGGAGGAAUUUGAAGUUCUAACAGUACUUACCAACAGCCUCUCCAUGAUUUGUGAAAAACUUCUAACAUUAGACACUGGUAUCCAUAGUUCAUAACAUUGCUUCCAAUCCUCUAAUGUAAAACCUGUACAUCCUGGAAAUAUGGUUUAAUGAUGCUAUAUUUUGAGAUCAAUUGUGAAAAUAGAGAAAAAGAACAAAUUGGUAGGAAGCUUUAUCUUAAAAUUACAUGAUAUAAUCAAUCAAAGCUCUUGUACUUAACCAUGAGUUUGUAAGCUAAUAUAACUUUUUUUUUUUUGGCCAUACCCAUGGCAUGUGGAAGUUCCCAGGCCAGGGAUUGAAUCUGCUCCACAUCAGUGACCCAUCUGGCUUGGGUCAAUGACAAUGUAAGAUCGUUAACCCACUGUGCCACAAGGGAACUCCAAAAUAGUGCAAUUUUAGGCUUCAUCAGUAGUACUAUAAUGUUUAGAAAAGGAGAUAAUUUUCAUUUGUUCUUACAAGGUUGUUUUGGAGGCGUCUAUGUGCCAGGUACUAGGCUAAACAAUGGAGAUGCUCUCCGCAUUGUACUGUUGCUGUGUCCUCACUUAAAAAAAGUUAGGUUCAGUCGGAGUUCCCGUCGUGGCGCAGUGGUUAACGAAUCCGACUAGGAACCAUGAGGUUGCGGGUUCGACCCCUGCCCUUGCUCAGUGGGUUAAGGAUCCGGCGUUGCCGUGAGCUGUGGUGUAGGUUGCAGAUGCAGCUUGGAUCUGGCAUUGCUGUGGCUGUGGUGUAGGCCAGCGGCUAUAGCUUCGAUUUGACCCCUGGCCUGGGAACCUCCAUAUGCUGCAGGAGUGGCCCAAGAAAUGGCAAAAAAAGACCAAAAAAAAAAAAAAAGUUAGGUUCAUAAAACUUGGAUUAAAAAUGACAUUUAUAGCAAAGACCUAUACUUUAAACUCAAUAAAAUCUUGGUACAACAUAUUUUUCUGCAUUAUUGUAUCUAAUCAUGCAGAUUUACUAGCAAAAAUGCAUUUUAAAAUGUUUAUCUAUAUAAUGAAAUAUGAUUUUAAACCAUCUGAUUUUCAAAAUGUUCAACCAUCACUAUUAGCAAAAUUAAAAUAAUUAUUUAAAAUUUUUCCUUAUAUUUCUCCUAAAUAUCUCUUACUGUGAACUAUAAUCAUUUAUAUAAUUUUUAUUCUAUUAUUUUAACUAACCUUUUAAUCUAUUACAAUUUUAAGCUUCAAUAAUAGUAGUAAAGGAGGUGUUUUUAAAUAAAAAUAAUUUUUAAGCAAAUGACUACAUAGGUGACACUCACAAUUAUCUCAACAUUUUCCCACAGUCUCGGAUGCCUGUAUCAUUAUUAUAUUUGAGAUAUGCACAUCUCCCUAAAAUCCCAAUUGGUACUUAAGUAGGCAGAUGCUAUUUGCGUUAAAAGUUUUAUGACAAAGAAGUAGUUAAUCCUCUCCUUCUGUAAAGCAAACAUGAAAGACGAUGGGAAACCAUGAGCAAUGAUUGGUGAAUCUAUCAGGUCAAACUCAGGUGCAGAGGAAGGGACAGUAGUUCUUGUCAAGUUUGAUCACUCCACUCCACUCCCCAUCAUUCCAUUCCACUUCACUUCAUUUUACCUGCUGAGUUACCCAUUAUCCUUUUAGCCUAUCUGGUCUGCAGAUCAGACCAGGGGCAUAUCAGUGAUGGUGGAAUCUUCCUCCUCCUCAACUUCAAAGCUUUUUGUUCCAAGUCUUUAAUUAAUACAAUGCCCCUCUGAAAAGCUUGGGAUGAUACUUGGCUGUGCUUCCAAGCAAUGCUGGCACAAGAAGAAAUUCUCCCAUGCUGUCUCAGACCAUUUUUGCCUAAACAUGCAACAGGCAAUUCCUACCCACCCCACACCACACCAAGUUGGAUAAAGGGGUCUUCCAGCCUUGCUGUCUCCUAGGGCUUUACUUGAACUAGGGUUCAGAACCCCCACUGUUCUAAUUAGGGUUUCUAUUGUCCUUCUCUUCCCUGGUCCUUGGCCUCAGACAUCAGCCAAGGCACAUAGCCUAUUCUCUGGGAAUCCCACCAAUACCCAACCCUUGUGUAUCUGCCCACUGGCUUUCCCAGUCCGGCAAACUUGAAGAUUAUCUCCAAAGACAAGAAACAGUGGUUCUGCCUGACUUCGCAGCUUGCAGCUAAGUCCUAACUUCUCUGUUCUGUCUUCUGCGUAAAUGAAUGGGCCCACCUGGAGAUUACAGAUGCCUCUUGCCAUUGCUAUUUAAGAGGGUGGUGAGGAGAGAAGACAAGGGGUGAAAACGUGGUUCUUGAAAGAUGUGGAGGUGGAUAGAAGUGCAGUCUUAGUCUCAAACUCAAAUAGACAAGGAAAAGGACAAAUAUGAGAAUCAAUAUUUGGAGGAGAAGCUCUUAAAUUGUGUGGAAUUACUGAAAUUUGAUGAGUUAUGACAUGAAAAUGACUCUACUUGAAAGAGAAAGAGAAGAGAAUUAGAGAGUUAAACCCAGGCUAAAAUAGGACCUUAUCAACUCAAGCAAGAGAGAGAAAAGUGUUAGUUAAUUAACUAGUUUUUAAAUGUGUGUAUAAUUUUACUAAUUGUAUUUUUUUUUCUUGAUAUGAAGUAAAUUUUAAGGUUUUUAAAUGCUACGAGGAAAACGGCAUGUGCUGGGACAGAAAAUUCACUCAUUUUUGUAGCCUCUUCUCUUGCUGGUGACACAGUAGUUACAAAGUUUAACUCAGGAAAAAGUGAAAAACAAAACAACGACAACAGAGAACUUGUCCUCAACAUCCUUUCCCUUCUCAUUGAAGACUUUCAAUCCUAAAGAUCAGAAGCUACCAAAUAUUAUGGGGUGGGGCGUUCUCUUUCCCUCUCUUUUUCUUAAAUUUAUGUUUUCGUACUGUUACUAGAGGAAUACUUGUGUUCUGGCUAGCUGGUUGUAUUUGUGAAAGCUCCGGAUAAAUUUUAUUCUACAGAAUAGCAGGAAAAGAAUCGAGGCACCUGUCCCUAAAAGCAUUAAAGUAUCCUGGAGUAAGUCCACAAUCUGCUUAGUCCUGGGAAAAUAUAAUGCUGUGAUUCCAUAAAGAGAACAACCUAAAACUGGCACCCUGGGGAUGGUUGCCUCAGCCAUACAGGCUGACUCCAGACGAUACUGGGGUCAGGAGAAGGGUGCCAGCUACUGAUCCCAGGGAGCAGCAAAGUAGCAUACUGACGUCUUUACCCACGUAAUCUAUUUUGGCAUUCGAAAGCUUAUUCAACCUGUCUUU
This 3591-nucleotide long non-coding RNA is filed under the name Sus scrofa (pig). RNAcentral describes it as "lncRNA (ENSSSCG00060025590.1)". Lineage: Eukaryota; Metazoa; Chordata; Mammalia; Artiodactyla; Suidae. The record is from RNAcentral.